RNAcentral lists this ribosomal RNA (497 nucleotides) under uncultured bacterium. RNAcentral's name for it is "partial 16S ribosomal RNA". It matches the Rfam family "Bacterial small subunit ribosomal RNA", at positions 28 to 507 of the family's 1533-position model. The record is from RNAcentral.
GAUGAACGCUGGCGGCGUGCCUAAUACAUGCAAGUCGAGCGAACGGACGAGAAGCUUGCUUCUUUGAUGUUAGCGGCGGACGGGUGAGUAACACGUGGAUAACCUACCUAUAUGACUGGGAUAACUUCGGGAAACCGGCUCUAAUACCGGAUAAUCUUUUGAACCGCAUGGUUCAAAAGUGAAAGACGGUCUUGCUGUCACUUAUAGCUGGAUCCGCGCUGCAUUAGCUAGUUGGUAAGGUAACGGCUUACCAAGGCAACGAUGCAUAGCCGACCUGAGAGGGUGAUCGGCCACACUGGAGCUGAGACACGGUCCAGACUCCUACGGGAGGCAGCAGUAGGGAAUCGUCCGCAAUGGGCGAAAGCCUGACGGAGCAACGCCGCGUGAGUGAUGAAGGUCUUCGGAUCGUAAAGCUCUGUUAUUAGGGAAGAACAUAUGUGUAAGUAACUGUGCACAUCUUGACGGUACCUAAUCAGAAAGCCACGGCUAACUACGUG